AGCAGCCGCGGCAAUUCCAGCUCCAAUAGCGUAUAUUAAAGUUGUUGCAGUUAAAAAGCUCGUAGUUGAAUUUCGGAAUCUGUCCGUUGGUCGGGCUUCACUGUUCGUACUGGCGUGGUGGGUUCUUACCUUCUGAAUAACCAGCAUGCCAUUCACUUGGUGCGCUGGGGAAGCAGGACUAUUACCUUGAAAAAAUUAGAGUGCUCAAAGCAGGCCAGUGCCUGAAUACAUUAGCAUGGAAUAAUAAAAUAGGACGGCAUGGUUCUAUUUUGUUGGUUUCUAGGAUCACCGUAAUGAUUAAUAGGGAUAGUUGGGGGCAUUAGUAUUCAAUUGUCAGAGGUGAAAUUCUUGGAUUUAUUGAAGACUAACUUCUGCGAAAGCAUUUGCCAAGGAUGUUUUCAUUAAUCAAGAACGAAAGUUAGGGGAUCGAAGACGAUCAGAUACCGUCGUAGUCUUAACCAU
Molecule: ribosomal RNA, 462 nt
Filed under: uncultured Acaulospora
Lineage: Eukaryota; Fungi; Glomeromycota; Glomeromycetes; Diversisporales; Acaulosporaceae
Description: SSU rRNA
Rfam family: Eukaryotic small subunit ribosomal RNA
Source: RNAcentral